This 2888-nucleotide ribosomal RNA is filed under the name Pseudomonas aeruginosa. Its description in RNAcentral is "bacterial LSU rRNA". It matches the Rfam family "Bacterial large subunit ribosomal RNA". The record is from RNAcentral. Lineage: Bacteria; Pseudomonadati; Pseudomonadota; Gammaproteobacteria; Pseudomonadales; Pseudomonadaceae.
UCAAGUGAAGAAGCGCAUACGGUGGAUGCCUUGGCAGUCAGAGGCGAUGAAAGACGUGGUAGCCUGCGAAAAGCUUCGGGGAGUCGGCAAACAGACUUUGAUCCGGAGAUCUCUGAAUGGGGGAACCCACCUAGGAUAACCUAGGUAUCUUGUACUGAAUCCAUAGGUGCAAGAGGCGAACCAGGGGAACUGAAACAUCUAAGUACCCUGAGGAAAAGAAAUCAACCGAGAUUCCCUUAGUAGUGGCGAGCGAACGGGGAUUAGCCCUUAAGCUUCAUUGAUUUUAGCGGAACGCUCUGGAAAGUGCGGCCAUAGUGGGUGAUAGCCCCGUACGCGAAAGGAUCUUUGAAGUGAAAUCGAGUAGGACGGAGCACGAGAAACUUUGUCUGAACAUGGGGGGACCAUCCUCCAAGGCUAAAUACUACUGACUGACCGAUAGUGAACCAGUACCGUGAGGGAAAGGCGAAAAGAACCCCGGAGAGGGGAGUGAAAUAGAACCUGAAACCGUAUGCGUACAAGCAGUGGGAGCCUACUUGUUAGGUGACUGCGUACCUUUUGUAUAAUGGGUCAGCGACUUAUAUUCAGUGGCAAGCUUAACCGUAUAGGGUAGGCGUAGCGAAAGCGAGUCUUAAUAGGGCGUUUAGUCGCUGGGUAUAGACCCGAAACCGGGCGAUCUAUCCAUGAGCAGGUUGAAGGUUAGGUAACACUGACUGGAGGACCGAACCCACUCCCGUUGAAAAGGUAGGGGAUGACUUGUGGAUCGGAGUGAAAGGCUAAUCAAGCUCGGAGAUAGCUGGUUCUCCUCGAAAGCUAUUUAGGUAGCGCCUCAUGUAUCACUCUGGGGGGUAGAGCACUGUUUCGGCUAGGGGGUCAUCCCGACUUACCAAACCGAUGCAACUCCGAAUACCCAGAAGUGCCGAGCAUGGGAGACACACGGCGGGUGCUAACGUCCGUCGUGAAAAGGGAAACAACCCAGACCGCCAGCUAAGGUCCCAAAGUUGUGGUUAAGUGGUAAACGAUGUGGGAAGGCUUAGACAGCUAGGAGGUUGGCUUAGAAGCAGCCAUCCUUUAAAGAAAGCGUAAUAGCUCACUAGUCGAGUCGGCCUGCGCGGAAGAUGUAACGGGGCUCAAACCACACACCGAAGCUGCGGGUGUCACGUAAGUGACGCGGUAGAGGAGCGUUCUGUAAGCCUGUGAAGGUGAGUUGAGAAGCUUGCUGGAGGUAUCAGAAGUGCGAAUGCUGACAUGAGUAACGACAAUGGGUGUGAAAAACACCCACGCCGAAAGACCAAGGGUUCCUGCGCAACGUUAAUCGACGCAGGGUUAGUCGGUUCCUAAGGCGAGGCUGAAAAGCGUAGUCGAUGGGAAACAGGUUAAUAUUCCUGUACUUCUGGUUACUGCGAUGGAGGGACGGAGAAGGCUAGGCCAGCUUGGCGUUGGUUGUCCAAGUUUAAGGUGGUAGGCUGAAAUCUUAGGUAAAUCCGGGGUUUCAAGGCCGAGAGCUGAUGACGAGUCGUCUUUUAGAUGACGAAGUGGUUGAUGCCAUGCUUCCAAGAAAAGCUUCUAAGCUUCAGGUAAUCAGGAACCGUACCCCAAACCGACACAGGUGGUCGGGUAGAGAAUACCAAGGCGCUUGAGAGAACUCGGGUGAAGGAACUAGGCAAAAUGGCACCGUAACUUCGGGAGAAGGUGCGCCGGCUAGGGUGAAGGAUUUACUCCGUAAGCUCUGGCUGGUCGAAGAUACCAGGCCGCUGCGACUGUUUAUUAAAAACACAGCACUCUGCAAACACGAAAGUGGACGUAUAGGGUGUGACGCCUGCCCGGUGCCGGAAGGUUAAUUGAUGGGGUUAGCGCAAGCGAAGCUCUUGAUCGAAGCCCCGGUAAACGGCGGCCGUAACUAUAACGGUCCUAAGGUAGCGAAAUUCCUUGUCGGGUAAGUUCCGACCUGCACGAAUGGCGUAACGAUGGCGGCGCUGUCUCCACCCGAGACUCAGUGAAAUUGAAAUCGCUGUGAAGAUGCAGUGUAUCCGCGGCUAGACGGAAAGACCCCGUGAACCUUUACUGUAGCUUUGCACUGGACUUUGAGCCUGCUUGUGUAGGAUAGGUGGGAGGCUUUGAAGCGUGGACGCCAGUUCGCGUGGAGCCAUCCUUGAAAUACCACCCUGGCAUGCUUGAGGUUCUAACUCUGGUCCGUGAUCCGGAUCGAGGACAGUGUAUGGUGGGCAGUUUGACUGGGGCGGUCUCCUCCUAAAGAGUAACGGAGGAGUACGAAGGUGCGCUCAGACCGGUCGGAAAUCGGUCGCAGAGUAUAAAGGCAAAAGCGCGCUUGACUGCGAGACAGACACGUCGAGCAGGUACGAAAGUAGGUCUUAGUGAUCCGGUGGUUCUGUAUGGAAGGGCCAUCGCUCAACGGAUAAAAGGUACUCCGGGGAUAACAGGCUGAUACCGCCCAAGAGUUCAUAUCGACGGCGGUGUUUGGCACCUCGAUGUCGGCUCAUCACAUCCUGGGGCUGAAGCCGGUCCCAAGGGUAUGGCUGUUCGCCAUUUAAAGUGGUACGCGAGCUGGGUUUAGAACGUCGUGAGACAGUUCGGUCCCUAUCUGCCGUGGACGUUUGAGAUUUGAGAGGGGCUGCUCCUAGUACGAGAGGACCGGAGUGGACGAACCUCUGGUGUUCCGGUUGUCACGCCAGUGGCAUUGCCGGGUAGCUAUGUUCGGAAAAGAUAACCGCUGAAAGCAUCUAAGCGGGAAACUUGCCUCAAGAUGAGAUCUCACUGGGAACUUGAUUCCCCUGAAGGGCCGUCGAAGACUACGACGUUGAUAGGCUGGGUGUGUAAGCGUUGUGAGGCGUUGAGCUAACCAGUACUAAUUGCCCGUGAGGCUUGACCAU